Molecule: ribosomal RNA, 253 nt
Filed under: uncultured bacterium
Lineage: Bacteria
Description: partial 16S ribosomal RNA
Rfam family: Bacterial small subunit ribosomal RNA
Source: RNAcentral
GACAGAGGUGCCGAGCGUUAGGCGGAAUCACUGGGCUUAAAGCGUGUGUAGGCGGGUCGUUAAGUACCUUGUGAAAUCCCACGGCUUAACCGUGGAACUGCUCGGGAUACUGGCGAUCUUGAGCCACUUAGGGGUCAGCGGAACAAAUGGUGGACCGGUGAAAUGCGUAGAUAUCAUUUGGAACGCCAAUGGUGAAAACAGCUGACUGGGAGUGUGCUGACGCUGAGACACGAAAGCCAGGGGAGCGAACGGG